This 75-nucleotide transfer RNA is filed under the name Acidobacteriota bacterium. RNAcentral's name for it is "Acidobacteria bacterium tRNA-Cys". It matches the Rfam family "tRNA". From Rfam's summary of the family: Transfer RNA (tRNA) molecules are approximately 80 nucleotides in length. Their secondary structure includes four short double-helical elements and three loops (D, anti-codon, and T loops). RNAcentral also lists the same sequence under 2 other names. Lineage: Bacteria; Pseudomonadati; Acidobacteriota. The record is from RNAcentral.
GGCGGCGUAGCCAAGUGGUAAGGCAGGGGUCUGCAAAACCCUUAUUCAUCGGUUCGAUUCCGAUCGCCGCCUCCA